This 90-nucleotide non-coding RNA is filed under the name Actinoplanes derwentensis. RNAcentral's name for it is "Glycine sequence". It matches the Rfam family "Glycine riboswitch aptamer". From Rfam's summary of the family: This family represents the bacterial glycine riboswitch. Lineage: Bacteria; Bacillati; Actinomycetota; Actinomycetes; Micromonosporales; Micromonosporaceae. The record is from Rfam by way of RNAcentral.
AAUACCCAUGCGGGAGAGACCCUGUGCACAGGGCGCCGAAGGGGCAAAUCCUCCCCGGAACCUCUCAGGCAAAAGGACCGCGGUGGCUAG